This 510-nucleotide ribosomal RNA is filed under the name uncultured bacterium. RNAcentral's name for it is "bacterial SSU rRNA". It matches the Rfam family "Bacterial small subunit ribosomal RNA", at positions 30 to 518 of the family's 1533-position model. The record is from RNAcentral.
CGAACGCUGGCGGCGUGCUUAACACAUGCAAGUCGAACGCGAAAGGGACUUCGGUCCUGAGUAAAGUGGCGGCACGGGUGAGUAACGCGUAGAUAACCUGUCUUCAUGUCUGGAAUAAUACGCCGAAAGGGGUACUAAUACCGGAUAUUCUUGCUUUUCAUAAGUUAUGCAAGCAAAGGUGGCCUCUGCAUAUGCUACUGCAUGAAGAGGGGUCUGCGUACCAUUAGCUAGUAGGUGGGGUAAUGGCCUACCUAGGCGACGAUGGUUAGCGGGUCUGAGAGGAUGAUCCGCCACACUGGCACUGGAACACGGGCCAGACUCCUACGGGAGGCAGCAGUGAGGAAUAUUGCGCAAUGGGGGAAACCCUGACGCAGCGACGCCGCGUGAGUGAAGGAAGGCCUUCGGGUCGUAAAGCUCUGUCAAGAGGAAAGAAGUGUACAAUGGCUAAUACCUGUUGUAUUUGACGGUACCUCUAAAGGAAGCACCGGCUAACUCCGUGCCAGCCGCUGC